GACGAACGCUGGCGGCGUGCUUAACACAUGCAAGUCGAACGGAAAGGCCCUGCUUUUGUGGGGUGCUCGAGUGGCGAACGGGUGAGUAACACGUGAGUAACCUGCCCUUGACUUUGGGAUAACUUCAGGAAACUGGGGCUAAUACCGGAUAGGAGCUCCUGCUGCAUGGUGGGGGUUGGAAAGUUUCGGCGGUUGGGGAUGGACUCGCGGCUUAUCAGCUUGUUGGUGGGGUAGUGGCUUACCAAGGCUUUGACGGGUAGCCGGCCUGAGAGGGUGACCGGCCACAGUGGGACUGAGAUACGGCCCAGACGCCUACGGGAGGCAGCAGUGGGGAAUAGUGCACAAUGGGCGGAAGCCUGAUGCAGCAACGCCGCGUGCGGGAUGACGGCCUUCGGGUUGUAAACCGCUUUCGCCUGUGACGAAGCGUGAGUGACGGUAAUGGGUAAAGAAGCACCGGCUAACUACGUG
Molecule: ribosomal RNA, 468 nt
Filed under: uncultured bacterium
Lineage: Bacteria
Description: partial 16S ribosomal RNA
Rfam family: Bacterial small subunit ribosomal RNA
Source: RNAcentral